RNAcentral lists this long non-coding RNA (200 nucleotides) under Trifolium pratense (red clover). Its description in RNAcentral is "long non-coding RNA (TPRA_LNC011365)". The record is from RNAcentral. Lineage: Eukaryota; Viridiplantae; Streptophyta; Magnoliopsida; Fabales; Fabaceae.
AAAAAUAGUCCAAGCCUUUUAUUCAAACCAUCAUAUAAUUGUCUAUAUAAAAAAAAAACAUCAUAUUGCUUAUUACUCCUUUUCUAAUAUAUAUGUGUAAUAUUAUAAUUUAAGUCUAGUUCUUUUUCUCUCUUUGAAAUCUAAGCACACAAAAAAUGAAUGUCGAAAAAUACAUAUGUCCCACUUAAUUAGUACUAGUA